RNAcentral lists this long non-coding RNA (1707 nucleotides) under Actinidia chinensis (golden kiwifruit). RNAcentral's name for it is "long non-coding RNA (ACHI_LNC006261)". The record is from RNAcentral. Lineage: Eukaryota; Viridiplantae; Streptophyta; Magnoliopsida; Ericales; Actinidiaceae.
UGACAACCAUCUUAUAGAGCAAUAGAGAGGUAAAUGUUCCUCAACCAAGACAACCAACCUUAGCCCACACGCUGGAGUCUGCAGGGUGCUUGCUAGUAGGGUGUUUCAAAGGCUCAUUCAUAACCCAACCUUCGUUGUAGUCUGAUUUUAUCCAUUCAAUUGAUGGGAUGAGUGGGCAUUACCUCUUUUUUCAUUGUUUUAAACAUUAGGACUCACUACAUUUGAAGGGUACGUCUCGUAGUACCGUGAGAUGCUAACCUCCCAAGGGGCCUAUAUGACAUUUGGUAGAUGUUAUUUAAUCAUGGCUUCAAGCGACAUGAAUUUCGUGGGAGCAAAAAUCUGCGCUUCCAUGUACCUGGGACACCUUAAUAUCACGGUAUGCCAUAUCCAAAAAAUUCAAUAAUCAUUCAACCCAACUAAAUCUUUUCCCAGCAAUGCUAUAUGGACCACAAUCGCAGUACUUAUAAUUUUAGGGGAAAAAAACAAUAGAAUAGAAUAGAAAGGGCAGGGGACAUUCAUUUAUACCUGGCCCUUUGCAACAAAUUCUCUCCAUCGAGAAGGCUUCCAGAUUGUUCGGGCUUAGUUCGGUAAGUGCUUUCUGCAUGAAGAUUAAGUAUGUAAUGGCCGUGAUCAAUAACAUGCGCAUAUAAUUAAGUUUAGGUGAUUAUAGAGUUAAGGCAGAUAAAAUAAACGCGAAAGUGGUUUUCAUAACCUUUGGAAAACUAUAUGUACCAUUCAUCAUGCUAUCACUAUAAUAAAGAAUUUGUUAGACACUACUUCACGUGGCAUCCAUAUUUAUGAGCAGAGAAAAUGGGGCUGCUAUGGAUGAGUUUUGGUAAAAUAUAUAUCAGGUACUUCAAGGCGUGGGCUGUCCGUGAACUUCAUAGAACCACUUUGGACAUCUCAAAAAACGAAAUGGAAGGCAUUUAUAAAGAUUUAUUUCUAUGCAAAUACAUCCAUUUGGGUCUUCUACGAUCCAAACUUAGAAUUGUGCCGAUUAAGAGAGUCAUUCUAUACAUGGAAGGGAAUGCAAAGAGAGGACUGAAACAACUUUGGGAAAAACAUAUUGGAAACAUUGAACUCUAAAACUCAAUCAAAAUAAACCCAUUUUUAGAGUAAUGGAAACAGUGGAACAACUUGAGGGAACGAUUGAGGUAUACCAAUAGAGAACUCACUGGCGAUUUUCACCGAACAGUUGGUGUCCUCGACUGAAAUCCCAGCCAAAUCCUUGCGUCAUCAAAUACCACAGCCUGAAGAAUUGGGUUGGGAUGUAAGAGAAGCUGAGGUCUGACCUUCUGAGAAGAUUCUUGCUGUUGAAUCUGUUGAGUAUGGUACCAAGAACACAAGCACAAUCCGUGGAUGAUUCUGGAUUUUAAGUUGUGGCAGAUGCAUAGGUUGCCAGGCAAUCAAUCGAAGCUUGUAUUUUGCUCAACAAUAGUAGCGUGCUGAAGAUGAUUGCCGACUGAAUCCGAGAGGCGAGCGAGUUGCUCAACAAAUGAAGGACGAGCGAGACAGUUUCGUCUUUCGAGCAAAAUUGGGAGGGCAUUUUCGUAAUCCCGAGCGUUAGAAGUUUAGAACACUUCGCACCUUUCAAGUUGUAUAGAUUUGAAAACAAGACCAUGCACAGUCCCCUACCUAUAUAAUAUGACAAUAAUAUUAUAGACACUAAUUUUCUUUUAUUAAAUAUACAUAUAAUAUCCUUAUUGU